CUAAUGUUUACUUUAUUUUGAGUAACUUUUUUUAAUGGUUUUGUUUUUGUUUUGACAGAUUUUCUGUAUUUUUUUCCCCAAGCAAAACCUAUGGAUGCAUAAAACAAAUGAACAAAUACAAUGGGAUUCAUCUUUGAUGUAUUUCUGUAACAACCAGUGGUUGCUUCCUUUAGAUUACUCAGGAACUGGUUACAACGCAAUUAGCAGCAAUACCUGCAGAAAACAUUUCCUGUAGUUAUUUAUGCAUUUCACUCUGCUGUGUCUCAGUCCUACUCGGUGACAUUGUCGUUUUUGAGCAUGAUUUGGGUUGCCACAGCAUUUCAGUGGAGUUAAAGUGCAAACAUGAAGCGCCCUGUUUUCAAACCUUUAUUCUGAGGCCUGAGACGUUUCAGAUCAUUGUCUUGCAGCAUGAGCCAGCUGUGCUUCAGCAUCAGUACACAGACAGACGGACAGCUUCACUUGAAGAACAGAAUCAAAAUUCCUUUACUGAAAAGGCAUCUAGUUCCUGAAGCAGAUAAACAUCAGUGUCUGCUGCUAUGAAGAGGUUUUUAUGAAAUGAAGAUUGAAAACCAAAAAAUGCACUUGUCUGAACACAUACCAUGUAAAAUAUAUAAACUUUUUGAACAGCAUUAUAAUUGCUGUUUGAUUUGUUUGAAAUUGUUUAAAAAAAGAAACCAGAAAACUGUUUUCAAUAAAUCAAUUGUUAAUUGAGCAUCAUCAUUGUGGUUUUACCAAGUAAACCUAUUUUUUUCAGCUUUUUCAGGAAGUGACAUGCUCAACAAUUUCUCACCUCGCUGCUCUGGAGCUCACUCUUCUUUUCUGUUGCAGCUUCAGUGAUCAGAUAAAACCAUGAAGCCGUUUGGACUCUGUUUUUCUGCUGUGUGCAUAUUGUGCUGCUGCUGUCUUGUGUGUGGCAGAGGUCAAGGUGUGUGCAGUGUAGGGAAGUUCAUUACCAGAAUCAAUUUAACCACAGAACUACAGUCUGAAAUCCUGCUGCCGUGCCUUUUUGAAGCAGCUCUCAUUGGAUCAAACCUGAACAUGAGUUCACUUGCUGUGUGGAAUCACAUUACUGAAACCACUGACGGCAUUGUAGAGAUCAAAGUAAAUGAUCAUGAAAUCUUCUGGAAUAACAGAGGCAAUAGAAUUAAGGCAUUCGGUGCUGCUGCUGCAUCUGGAAACUUCUCCAUCCUGAUUGAAGAUGUGCAGCUGUCUGAUCUGGGGCUCUACCGCUGUGAACAUUUCAUAGAUACCAACUGUUCUCUGGGCUAUAAAGAGAUAAACAUCAGUCUGGCUGCUGAGUUUUCACCGCUCAAUAACUGGCAGCUCAUAGUUGCUGCAGGAGGAGGAGGAGGAUUCCUUCUUCUCUGUCUGAUCACCGUGUGUGUUUACUGGACAUGGACAAAACGACAAACAGUUGAUGCAUCAGUCAACCACACAUCACACAAUUGUCAUGACAGUGAAGGACAAAAAAAUGAUGAAAUAACCUAUGCGUCAGUUGUUCCUAAGUCACACAAUUGCCAUAACAGUGAAGGACCAAAAAAUGAUGAAAUAACCUAUGCAUCAGUUGCUCUUAAAUCACACAACUGCCAUGACAGUGAAGUUCUUCUGAAUAAUAAACCUGUAAAAGGCUCUGCAUCAGAAACCAUGGUCAACCCAGAGACGGUCCUUUACUCUACCCUCAAGCAAAGAGAGGGAAGAUGA
Molecule: long non-coding RNA, 1701 nt
Organism: Carassius auratus (goldfish)
Lineage: Eukaryota; Metazoa; Chordata; Actinopteri; Cypriniformes; Cyprinidae
Source: Ensembl